UACAGAGGGGGCAAGCGUUGUUCGGAAUUACUGGGCGUAAAGGGCGCGUAGGCGGCCUGUUAAGUCGAACGUGAAAUCCCCGGGCUCAACCCGGGAACUGCGUCCGAUACUGGGAGGCUUGAAUCCGGGAGAGGGAUGUGGAAUUCCAGGUGUAGCGGUGAAAUGCGUAGAUAUCUGGAGGAACACCGGUGGCGAAGGCGGCAUCCUGGACCGGUAUUGACGCUGAUGCGCGAAAGCCAGGGGAGCAAACGGG
Molecule: ribosomal RNA, 253 nt
Filed under: uncultured bacterium
Lineage: Bacteria
Description: partial 16S ribosomal RNA
Rfam family: Bacterial small subunit ribosomal RNA
Source: RNAcentral